This is a long non-coding RNA of Suricata suricatta (meerkat), 497 nucleotides long. RefSeq lists it as uncharacterized. Lineage: Eukaryota; Metazoa; Chordata; Mammalia; Carnivora; Herpestidae. The transcript has 3 exons. The record is from RefSeq and is a predicted model, not a curated record.
AUUAUUUUGAAAGAGACAUUUAAAUGCAACACCAAUAGGAAACACCCAGGGAGAGAGAUCCACCCAAGCCAGGAAUGUCUAUCCACUCUCCAUCCUUCUCUGCCCUGCUCUGUGUCCUGGGAGGCUGACCUCUCUCUGCAGAUCAUACCAGUUGCCCUCCCCAACCUCCUGUAUUCCAAUCCUAAUAUGAGGCAUCAAGCAGGAGAUUGAAGAAGAGAGGGAGAAACAGGCACAAGAUCAUUAAAGAAAAGAUGCUCCAUUGAGAAGAACAGCUGGAAAUUCUGCUAAUGGGCUGAAUACACACUGGAGUCACUUUUCUCUUCCAUCCAAGAAUUUCCAACUGUCUGAUGUAUCAAUGUUCUAAGAAGCAUGCUAACCAUGGCCGACCAGGAAUUCCUACCCAGCCUCAAAGGGGCACUAGAGGAGAAGGAACUUGCUUCUGGGUACACAAAAUCUGAGCAUUUUGCUUUCUUGUUUCCAAAUACAGAGAGCAACAA